This 440-nucleotide ribosomal RNA is filed under the name uncultured bacterium. RNAcentral describes it as "partial 16S ribosomal RNA". It matches the Rfam family "Bacterial small subunit ribosomal RNA", at positions 338 to 795 of the family's 1533-position model. The record is from RNAcentral.
CCUACGGGUGGCAGCAGUAGGGAAUCUUGCUCAAUGGGGGAAACCCUGAAGCAGCAACGCCGCGUGGAGGAUGAAGGUUUUCGGAUUGUAAACUCCUUUUGUUAGAGAAGAUAAUGACGGUAUCUAACGAAUAAGCACCGGCUAAAUCCGUGCAAGCAGCCGCGGUAAUACGGAGGGUGAAAGCGUUACGCUGAAUGAAUGGGCGUAAAGAACGCGUAGGCGGGUUAGCAAGUCAGAUGUGAAAUCCUAUGGCUUAACCAUAGUACUGCAUUUGAAACUGUUAUUCUAGAGUAUGGGAGAGGUAGGUGGAAUUCUGGGUGUAGGGGUAAAAUCCGUAGAGAUUAAGAGGGAUACUCAUUGCGAAGGCGACCUGCUAGAACAUAACUGACGCUGAUGCGCGAAAGCGUGGGGAGCAAACAGGAUUAGAUACCCGUGUAGUC